This is a long non-coding RNA of Bos taurus (domestic cattle), 438 nucleotides long. The record is from Ensembl. NCBI's taxonomy places the organism in Eukaryota, Metazoa, Chordata, Mammalia, Artiodactyla, Bovidae.
AAAAACACAAGCAGGUUCCCCUCCUUUCCUUUGCCUUUUGGUCUGGCUCUCCCUUCCCUUUGGGUUGGCGCCGGCCUAAAUGGAAAACCCGUCAUCUUGCCUCCACUAACCUGUGAGCACCGGGUACCUGGAGGCCAAGGCCCCUCUGCUGGGCGGGGGGCGGUCCCCCGGGAGCUGUACCCCAUCAUUCCGCAGCCCGGUGUGAACACAGGCCCAGAGAGGUGAUGUGAUUUGCCCUAAGCCAUGCAGCUAGUGGCAGAGCCAGGCCUAGAAGCCAGGUGUCCUGGCUCCCAAGACAUUCCGCUGCCCGAGGAAUGGAACAGGUACAGGGUGAAGAACAAAACCUAUUGUAGGGCUUCCCUGAUGGCCCAAUGGAUAGGAAUCUACCUGGCCAAUGCAGAGGACACACGUUCGACACCUGGCCUGUGAAGAUCCCAC